AUGAUGAGCAUGAAAAAAAAAAUGUUUGAAAAAGAGAAUGAGGAUUUCAAAGAAGAGGUUUUUAAACUGCACAAUGAGAUUUCGCGUCUCGAAAAUGCUCUGAAACACUCUGAAAAAAGAAACUAUUUAUUAGAUAAGCAAGUUCAAAGAAUGCGGUCAAAAAUGGACACAGAUGAGCAACUGUUCAAAAGGUUUGGCAAUGCUCAGGAAUCCCACUUAAGUUUGAAGUCUCAUUAUGUUGGAAAGAAAGGGCCAGUCAUCUGUUCCUGUACUGAACGUUUCUUCUUAGUUCAUUUGCAAAGUCGAAAGCGUAUUUUUAAUGGUACGACCUCAGUCAGUGGAUUUGAGCAUCAGCAUAGGAACUCUUUUCUGUUUCUGUAUGCCUCUCACGUGAUUUGGAAGUGCUACAUUUGUGUUAAUUUGGAUCAUGCCCCUUCCUGCCAAACUGUCUCCAGUACAGCUACCUGUAUAGGUAACCCUUCACAGUCACUGCAGUCUGUCAGUUGA
Molecule: long non-coding RNA, 507 nt
Filed under: Falco tinnunculus (common kestrel)
Lineage: Eukaryota; Metazoa; Chordata; Aves; Falconiformes; Falconidae
Description: lncRNA (ENSFTIG00000010040.1)
Source: RNAcentral